Molecule: ribosomal RNA, 253 nt
Filed under: uncultured bacterium
Lineage: Bacteria
Description: partial 16S ribosomal RNA
Rfam family: Bacterial small subunit ribosomal RNA
Source: RNAcentral
GACGAACCGUGCGAACGUUGUUCGGGAUCACUGGGCUUAAAGGGCGCGCAGGCGGACGUCCAAGUCCGGGGUGAAAUCCCCCGGCUCAACCGGGGGACUGCCUGGGAUACUGGACGUCUCGAGGGAGGUAGGGGCGCGCGGAACUUCCGGUGGAGCGGUGAAAUGCGUAGAUAUCGGAAGGAACGCCGGUGGCGAAAGCGGCGCGCUGGACCUCUGCUGACGCUGAGGCGCGAAAGCCAGGGGAGCGAACGGG